AACCCAGUGUGACUCGUCACACUAUCAUUAACUGAAUCCAUAGGUUAAUGAGGCGAACCGGGGGAACUGAAACAUCUAAGUACCCCGAGGAAAAGAAAUCAACCGAGAUUCCCCCAGUAGCGGCGAGCGAACGGGGAGGAGCCCAGAGCCUGAAUCAGCAUGUGUGUUAGUGGAAGCGUCUGGAAAGGCGCGCGAUACAGGGUGACAGCCCCGUACACAAAAGCGCAUGUGCUGUGAGCUCGAUGAGUAGGGCGGGACACGUGGUAUCCUGUCUGAAUAUGGGGGGACCAUCCUCCAAGGCUAAAUACUCCUGACUGACCGAUAGUGAACCAGUACCGUGAGGGAAAGGCGAAAAGAACCCCGGCGAGGGGAGUGAAAAAGAACCUGAAACCGUGUACGUACAAGCAGUGGGAGCCCCACCACCAAAGCAUUUGCUGUACCGCGUUGACGGAGCGAAGCGACGUCAAACCGAUAAAACAGCAGUGUAAAGUGAGCCGCAGGGCGCUUUGCGCGACAGCGCAAAGGCAGGCGGUUUCGCGUAGCGAAAGCGAAUGCUUUGGGGUGGGGUGACUGCGUACCUUUUGUAUAAUGGGUCAGCGACUUAUAUUCUGUAGCAAGGUUAACCGAAUAGGGGAGCCGGAGGGAAACCGAGUCUUAAUUGGGCGUUAAGUUGCAGGGUAUAGACCCGAAACCCGGUGAUCUAGCCAUGGGCAGGUUGAAGGUUGGGUAACACUAACUGGAGGACCGAACCGACUAAUGUUGAAAAAUUAGCGGAUGACCUGUGGCUGGGGGUGAAAGGCCAAUCAAACCGGGAGAUAGCUGGUUCUCCCCGAAAGCUAUUUAGGUAGCGCCUCGUGAAUUCAUCUCCGGGGGUAGAGCACUGUUUCGGCUAGGGGGCCAUCCCGGCUUACCAACCCGAUGCAAACUGCGAAUACCGGAGAAUGUUAUCACGGGAGACACACGGCGGGUGCUAACGUCCGUCGUGAAGAGGGAAACAACCCAGACCGCCAGCUAAGGUCCCAAAGUCAUGGUUAAGUGGGAAACGAUGUGGGAAGGCCCAGACAGCCAGGAUGUUGGCUUAGAAGCAGCCAUCAUUUAAAGAAAGCGUAAUAGCUCACUGGUCGAGUCGGCCUGCGCGGAAGAUGUAACGGGGCUAAACCAUGCACCGAAGCUGCGGCAGCGACACUGUGUGUUGUUGGGUAGGGGAGCGUUCUGUAAGCCUGUGAAGGUGUGUCGUGAGGCAUGCUGGAGGUAUCAGAAGUGCGAAUGCUGACAUAAGUAACGAUAAAGCGGGUGAAAAGCCCGCUCGCCGGAAGACCAAGGGUUCCUGUCCAACGUUAAUCGGGGCAGGGUGAGUCGACCCCUAAGGCGAGGCCGAAAGGCGUAGUCGAUGGGAAACGGGUUAAUAUUCCCGUACUUGGUGUUACUGCGAAGGGGGGACGGAGAAGGCUAUGUUGGCCGGGCGACGGUUGUCCCGGUUUAAGCGUGUAGGUGUGUGUUCCAGGUAAAUCCGGUUCACUUUAACACUGAGGCGUGACGACGAGGCACUACGGUGCUGAAGCAACAAAUGCCCUGCUUCCAGGAAAAGCCUCUAAGCAUCAGGUAACAUCAAAUCGUACCCCAAACCGACACAGGUGGUCAGGUAGAGAAUACCAAGGCGCUUGAGAGAACUCGGGUGAAGGAACUAGGCAAAAUGGUGCCGUAACUUCGGGAGAAGGCACGCUGACACGUAGGUGAAGUGAUUUACUCAUGGAGCUGAAGUCAGUCGAAGAUACCAGCUGGCUGCAACUGUUUAUUAAAAACACAGCACUGUGCAAACACGAAAGUGGACGUAUACGGUGUGACGCCUGCCCGGUGCCGGAAGGUUAAUUGAUGGGGUCAGCGCAAGCGAAGCUCCUGAUCGAAGCCCCGGUAAACGGCGGCCGUAACUAUAACGGUCCUAAGGUAGCGAAAUUCCUUGUCGGGUAAGUUCCGACCUGCACGAAUGGCGUAAUGAUGGCCAGGCUGUCUCCACCCGAGACUCAGUGAAAUUGAACUCGCUGUGAAGAUGCAGUGUACCCGCGGCAAGACGGAAAGACCCCGUGAACCUUUACUAUAGCUUGACACUGAACAUUGAGCCUUGAUGUGUAGGAUAGGUGGGAGGCUUUGAAGUGUGGACGCCAGUCUGCAUGGAGCCGACCUUGAAAUACCACCCUUUAAUGUUUGAUGUUCUAACGUGGACCCGUUACCCGGGUUGCGGACAGUGUCUGGUGGGUAGUUUGACUGGGGCGGUCUCCUCCUAAAGAGUAACGGAGGAGCACGAAGGUUGGCUAAUCCUGGUCGGACAUCAGGAGGUUAGUGCAAUGGCAUAAGCCAGCUUGACUGCGAGCGUGACGGCGCGAGCAGGUGCGAAAGCAGGUCAUAGUGAUCCGGUGGUUCUGAAUGGAAGGGCCAUCGCUCAACGGAUAAAAGGUACUCCGGGGAUAACAGGCUGAUACCGCCCAAGAGUUCAUAUCGACGGCGGUGUUUGGCACCUCGAUGUCGGCUCAUCACAUCCUGGGGCUGAAGUAGGUCCCAAGGGUAUGGCUGUUCGCCAUUUAAAGUGGUACGCGAGCUGGGUUUAGAACGUCGUGAGACAGUUCGGUCCCUAUCUGCCGUGGGCGCUGGAGAACUGAGGGGGGCUGCUCCUAGUACGAGAGGACCGGAGUGGACGCAUCACUGGUGUUCGGGUUGUCAUGCCAAUGGCACUGCCCGGUAGCUAAAUGCGGAAGAGAUAAGUGCUGAAAGCAUCUAAGCACGAAACUUGCCCCGAGAUGAGUUCUCCCUGAGACUUUAGGUCUCCUGAAGGAACGUUGAAGACGACGACGUUGAUAGGCCGGGUGUGUAAGCGCAGCGAUGCGUUGAGCUAACCGGUACUAAUGAACCGUGAGGCUUAACCUUACAACGCCGAAG
Molecule: ribosomal RNA, 2931 nt
Filed under: Salmonella enterica subsp. enterica serovar Enteritidis
Lineage: Bacteria; Pseudomonadati; Pseudomonadota; Gammaproteobacteria; Enterobacterales; Enterobacteriaceae
Description: partial 23S ribosomal RNA
Rfam family: Bacterial large subunit ribosomal RNA
Source: RNAcentral